AGUUCUCUUAAUAUUCUUAGUUAUUGGUUAACCAAUUUGUAGGUUAGCCUUGUUUUAAAUUAUCUUUUUCAAAUUAUCUUAUUCAAACACGUAUUUCAAUUAUUGUCAAAAAAUAUAGUGUAAAGUUGAGUUGCUUGAGCUUUGAAUUAGGUCUACCUAUUGUUUUUUUCAAUUUUGUUUACAGUAUUGCUCAAUUUCUACGAGAGGAAUUACAAUCACAGCUUUUGUAGUAUGCUAAUAUUUAUAGCUUUAUUAGAUUUAAGGAAUUUUUAGAUAAAACAUAAUUUUUUGAAAAGGUAAAUAGGUAGGCUAUCACUCAUUUUAUUAUAUAAGUCACUAUUGGAAUAAGAAUUCUUCUCAAAUCAUAACAAGAAUGGCUUGAAAUAGAAAACUUUUGCAGUGUUGGUUAUCUUUAGUAUUAAAACAGAACAUACAUUACGGUAUUUCUAACAAUAUUAUUAUAAACAAAAAUAUGUGAUCAAUGAUUAUGCUGCUAGCUUACUCAGUAAAGGAUUUUAAUAUUCAGCCUGAUCCAGUAACUUACAUAUCAUUUUUAUCUAAUAUGUUUCUACUCUCAACAGAGUUUGACACAAUUUGAAAUUUGACGAUUCCCCGAUCCAAGACUGUGAGGAAUAAGUUACAUCUUACUCAUCGGAAGUAAGUACCGGUUUUGAAAAUGCUGAUAAACACUGGAAACGCCAAUAUCUAGCACACCUUCUAGGCCCUGCAAUAGCCUACAUAACUAAUACACCUCAAGUUACCUGAAAUUUUGUACCGAACAUGCGUAAUAAUUUUAUUUUUCGGAAAAGAUGUGAAAUGAUAUGAAUCUAUGGAUAUAGUUUAUACUUGUCCUCUGAAUUAUAAUUUAUUUCUCUGAACGUUGGACAAUACAUCCAUAGGAGUUUAUUCAUGAAAUAAAUUUCCACACUUCUAUAGAAAAUCAAGUGACACGAGUUUUGUGAGAAAAUAGAAAAAUAGUUUGGAUUGAUGGAUUUUGGAACUGUGAUUUGGACAUAACGAGUUUAGGAACGGUUUACUAUUGGGAAAUCAGAUCAGGUACCAAGAUCAUGAGCUGGAAAAUAUAAAUUCAGCAUAACUUAAUACAUUUUUAUUUUAUUUUCAGGAAUAAGUCAAUGAUAUAUAAAAUUAAAAUCAGAAUAAUAAAUAUUUAUUUUUCCUCCAAAAAUAAGUAAAAAUGUAGUAUGAAAAAACAAUCAGAUAGAUUUUGUAUAUUCUCUUGAGUAAUAUUCAAAUACCAAGGCAUAAAAUUACAAUCAUCAACAUUUGUAAGAAACAAAUUUAUAAAGAGUCUCAUAAUAGAAACGACAGAAAAAAAAUUAUAUGCAAUAAUAUAAAAAUUCAAAGAAGGAAAUACAGUAGUUUGUUUUCAGAUGUUCAUAUUUUUUUAUUAAAUCAAUAAGUCAAUGCAGUAUGUAAAAUUACAAUCAUCAAAAUUUGUAAGAAACAUGUAGUGAGAUUCUCAUAAUAUAAACGACAAAACGAAAAUUGUAUACAAUAAUGAUAUAAAAAAUUAAAAAAAAGAAAUAGUUUGCUUUCAGAAGUUCAGCAUGUCAUCAUUUUAUUUCUAAUGAAUUCUUGCAAAUUAGUGUGAAACUACAAUCAUCAAAAUUUGAAAGAAACAUUCAGAAGAAGUUUCAUUAUAAAAAUGAAUAAAAACAACAAAACAGAAAUACAGUAAUAAUAAUAUUUAGAAAAUUCAAAAAAUGAAUAGUUUAUUUUCAGGUGUGUGGUGUGUAUCAUGUCACAGUCCCAAAAUAUUUCCCUAAUAUCUUUUCAAAAUAUUUCCCAAAUGUUUAUCAACUUGGAUAAACAACAUUAUUAUAAUCCAAUUGCAAUGUCAGAUAAAGAAUUCAUUUUUUCAUUAUUUAACCUGCAAACUUAGGUCAAGUGAUCAUAAUGCACAAUGGAACUGAAGUCACAAGUGAAAUAGAAAAUGUAGUUGAACAUAUACAGUACGAGCUUUGAUUCAGUAAAUGUACAUGGAUAUUUUCUUCAUGGUAUUUUUGAAUAGAGAAUUUUUCUCAAAAGAAUAUUAAUUUUUGAAAAACUUAUUCGUUUAAAAAACCUCAAUUUCAGUAUUGUUAUUUAUAUUUAAUAUUAUUGAUUACCUACUUAUUCCAUUAUCUCACAAAAGUAAUAAUCAGAAAAAAGUUUUAGGCCUACCGUACUGUUUUUGCACAAUCUUAAAAAAAUGAUACCCCACUUCAUCAUAAUAUAUGACGGGGUAAUAAAUAAUAUUUAAUGAUAUAUAAAUAGUAUUUAAAUCAAUAAAAAUUAUUAUUGAUAUAUAGACUAGUAGUAUCAAUAAAAAACUUUUAUGGAGAAACAACCAAAAUAAAUUCCUGUUGCCAUAAUUAUAUAAUAGCUUACUAUAAUAGAAAACAAUCAAAGCAAAAGAUUCACGUUUUCAAUUAUUCUACUGACCUGGGCAAUAGUAAUUUUACAAUUUUAGUGAAACCCUUCAUACUCCAAUAUCGCUAUAUACAUCAUCUACUUCUGAUCAAAGAAAUAAUGAGACUAUAAAAUAUUAUUCAUUGACCGAGCAAAGCGAGGUCCAAGAUUCAAGUUGACUGUUUUGCUCUUCUCUUGAUGUGUGUUCCGCAUUCACAGCGAAACACUGCAUUUACAGCCUGGUUGCACAAAAUCCGGUUAAAUUUUAACCGUGAUUAAUUUCACGAGAACCAAU
RNAcentral lists this long non-coding RNA (2707 nucleotides) under Nilaparvata lugens (brown planthopper). RNAcentral describes it as "uncharacterized LOC120351340, transcript variant X3". The record is from RNAcentral. Lineage: Eukaryota; Metazoa; Arthropoda; Insecta; Hemiptera; Delphacidae.